This is a long non-coding RNA of Tachysurus fulvidraco (yellow catfish), 1323 nucleotides long. RefSeq lists it as uncharacterized. Lineage: Eukaryota; Metazoa; Chordata; Actinopteri; Siluriformes; Bagridae. The record is from RefSeq and is a predicted model, not a curated record. The transcript has 3 exons.
GUGUGUGUGUGUGUGUGUGUGUGUGUGUGUGUGUGUGUGUGUGUGUGUUUUAUUUAAAAAAAAGGGGGUAAGUACUAGUUCAAGUCUUUCAGGAAGAUGUAGGUCUUCAGCAUUGAAGAUGAUUCGACUGUUCGGACAUCUAGGGGAAGUUCAUUCCACCACCUCGGUGCUCUAUACUCUACACACACAGUUCAAUCUAACGAGCUUUCAAGACAGAGGCUGAUCUGUUCAAACUGCCCUUAUCUGCAGCCACAGAUGGUAUUUCGGUUUGACCAACUCGCCCGUGUCUUCAUAGCUGGAGCCCUGACUGGCUGUGAUAUCAACAAGGAACGGUGACUCUAGAUGUCUACAUAAUGUCUUUCAUGACUUUAUUUUCCACUGGCCAGUGGGUCACUGGGUGAUCCUAUCUGCUUCCAACAUCUUGAGUGGCCACUUCCUUCACCAGCCAAAUCUUUUUUUAAAUAAUACAGGAAACAAUCAUCACAUUUCCAGACCCACCUCCUAUCUUAACCUAUAUUUCUUACACCUUUAGUACAGUCAUGUUACCAGUUUUAUGCCGAGGAUGUAACAACCAUUAUUCAUAUGGAUCCUUCUACAAUUUGACCUAAAGCUUACUAUGUUAUAAUGAUCAGACAAGCUUUACUCAAGUCAGAUGUAUUCUUUGUUAAUUAAAAAAUAAGACAUUUUAUUAUUUAUUAGGUUUGCACAUAUUGCACACUUCUACAGAUUUUUUAUUACCUAACUCCUGAUUGCUCAUUAUAGUCAUUUCUUUGUUUCACUUCCUGUGUUUUUUUCCCCUCUUUGGAUCAUGCUGUUUCUUCUUUUAUAAAAAUCUAAAAUUUUGUAGAUGUCUGAGUGAGAACAUCAUUUUUUUAUGUAGAGCAUUUAAUUUCAUUACUUUUGAGGGCAUUUACUAUGCUUUACAGACUCCCACACAGUGCAGUAGGUAUAUUUCAUUAAAUAAUAUGUGACAGCUGACACACACAGACAAGCAGCUUUACACUUUCUGGAUAAAACACACACAUGGAUGUGAACCAAUCUGUAGUGAUUAAUUGACUAUAAUGACUAGUCAUUUGUAAUCCAAAUGAAAGGAUGUGAAAAGAGCAGAGCUGGACAGUUGUCAUCUCUUGACCCUCUGAACUUCUAGAAAUGCCUGUUGUUGUGCAAUAAAAUAGAAAAAGCUAAAUCGCAGAGCCGACUUGCAGUAAGAAUGUGGAAAUACCAGUGAAUUGAUGAAAUACCAGUGAAUUUUGUUUAUUCUAAUGCCCAUGCACAGAACACCUCCCCACUUAUAAUACUGUAUAUGUACUGUACACACAUCUU